UACGUAGGGGGCAAGCGUUGUCCGGAAUUAUUGGGCGUAAAGAGCGUGUAGGCGGUCCGGUAAGUCAGCUGUGAAAGUCAAGGGCUCAACCCUUGAAUGCCGGUUGAUACUGUCGGGCUAGAGUCCGGAAGAGGCGAGUGGAAUUCCUGGUGUAGCGGUGAAAUGCGCAGAUAUCAGGAGGAACACCGAUGGCGAAGGCAGCUCGCUGGGACGGUACUGACGCUGAGGCGCGAAAGCGUGGGGAGCAAACAGG
This 253-nucleotide ribosomal RNA is filed under the name uncultured bacterium. RNAcentral describes it as "partial 16S ribosomal RNA". It matches the Rfam family "Bacterial small subunit ribosomal RNA", at positions 524 to 776 of the family's 1533-position model. The record is from RNAcentral.